RNAcentral lists this ribosomal RNA (520 nucleotides) under uncultured Diversispora. RNAcentral's name for it is "SSU rRNA". It matches the Rfam family "Eukaryotic small subunit ribosomal RNA", at positions 569 to 1087 of the family's 1831-position model. The record is from RNAcentral. Lineage: Eukaryota; Fungi; Glomeromycota; Glomeromycetes; Diversisporales; Diversisporaceae.
AGCAGCCGCGGUAAUUCCAGCUCCAAUAGUGUAUAUUAAAGUUGUUGCAGUUAAAAAGCUCGUAGUUGAACUUCGGGGUUUACCCAUUGGUCAGGCUUAAUUGUCUGUACUGGUGAGAUAAAUCUCUACCUUCUGAGGAACUUUCAUGCCAUUUAUUUGGUGUGAUGGGAAAUCAGGACUGUUACUUUGAAAAAAUUAGAGUGUUUAAAGCAGGCUAACGUCUGAAUACAUUAGCAUGGAAUAAUGAAAUAGGACGGACUGAUUCUAUUUCGUUGGUUUCUAGGGUCACCGUAAUGAUUAAUAGGGAUAGUUGGGGGCAUUAGUAUUCAAUUGUCAGAGGUGAAAUUCUUGGAUUUAUUGAAGACUAACUACUGCGAAAGCAUUUGCCAAGGAUGUUUUCAUUAAUCAAGAACGAAAGUUAGGGGGUCGAAGACGAUCAGAUACCGUCGUAGUCUUAACCAUGAAACUAUGCCGACUAGGGAUCGGACGAAGUUAAUUUUAUAAUGACGCGUUCGGCACC